Molecule: ribosomal RNA, 500 nt
Filed under: uncultured bacterium
Lineage: Bacteria
Description: partial 16S ribosomal RNA
Rfam family: Bacterial small subunit ribosomal RNA
Source: RNAcentral
AUUGAACGCUGGCGGCAUGCCUUACACAUGCAAGUCGAACGGCAGCACGGGUGCUUGCACCUGGUGGCGAGUGGCGAACGGGUGAGUAAUACAUCGGAACGUACCUUAUCGUGGGGGAUAACGCAGCGAAAGCUGUGCUAAUACCGCAUACGCCCUGAGGGGGAAAGCGGGGGAUCGAAGGACCUCGCGCGAUUAGAGCGGCCGAUGCCUGAUUAGCCUGUUGGUGGGGUAAAGCCCACCAAGGCGACGAUCAGUAGCUGGUCUGAGAGGACGAUCAGCCACACUGGGACUGAGACACGGCCCAGACUCCUACGGGAGGCAGCAGUGGGGAAUUUUGGACAAUGGGGGCAACCCUGAUCCAGCAAUGCCGCGUGAGUGAAGAAGGCCUUCGGGUUGUAAAGCUCUUUUGUCAGGGAAGAAACACCGGCUCUAACACAGUCCGGGAAUGACGGUACCUGAAGAAUAAGCACCGGCUAACUACGUGCCAGCCGCCGCCGUAA